RNAcentral lists this unclassified non-coding RNA (424 nucleotides) under Shinnersia rivularis. RNAcentral describes it as "partial external transcribed spacer". Lineage: Eukaryota; Viridiplantae; Streptophyta; Magnoliopsida; Asterales; Asteraceae. The record is from RNAcentral.
CGUAAAGGUGCAUGAGUGGUGUUUGGUUUGAUACGGGUAGUUGGCUCUUUGCUUGUGCAACAACUUCCACCUGGCAUGCCUUUUCAUCUGUUUGCUAAUGCUUUUGUUGCCAAAGUAGACUGUGGGUUUCUUGUGUUGCCUACCUAUGAUAAGGCAUUCUUUUGGCUGAUCUUAAGGUCAUUUCGUCUUGUCUUACAGUUGUGAGACCAGAUGAACAAUAAAGAUAUCUCUUUGAACCACACAACUAAUGCUUGUGCGAAGCUGUGGCACAUUGAGAAUUGCUUGGUCUCUUUGAUAUGGUAACUUGAUGUGGGAUGGGUCUCGUGGGAUCCUUAUGUGUUCCAUUCUUAGUGUUUACGCUUCUCUAAAAUGACUGCUUGACACGCUCUUAACCGGCGUGUUGAGUUUUGUCAAAGAGGAAAGU